RNAcentral lists this small RNA (134 nucleotides) under Klebsiella quasipneumoniae. RNAcentral describes it as "RtT sRNA". It matches the Rfam family "RtT RNA". Rfam says of the family: This family represents a bacterial cis-regulatory element known as RtT RNA. The record is from RNAcentral. Lineage: Bacteria; Pseudomonadati; Pseudomonadota; Gammaproteobacteria; Enterobacterales; Enterobacteriaceae.
UGUUUGCACUUAGCGGGAAGGGUAAGAACCUUCGACUAAGGUUCGACUCAAGCGCCAGCGAGAGAACGUUGCCGCAGGCAACGGCCCGAGAGGGCGAGGAGCGAUAGCGACGAGUUAUCCUUCCUCCACCACCA